UAAUACGGAGGGUGCGAGCGUUAAUCGGAAUUACUGGGCGUAAAGCGUGCGUAGGUGGCUUGGUAAGUCGGAUGUGAAAGCCCUGGGCUCAACCUGGGAACUGCAUUCGAUACUGCCAGGCUAGAGUAUGGUAGAGGGAAGUGGAUUUUCCGGUGUAGCGGUGAAAUGCGUAGAUAUCGGAAGGAACACCAGUGGCGAAGGCGGCUUCCUGGACCAAUACUGACACUGAGGUACGAAAGCGUGGGGAGCAAACAGGAUUAGAUACCCUGGUAGUCCACGCCCUAAACGAUGUCAACUAGCCGUUGGAGGAAUUUAAUCCUUUAGUGGCGCAGCUAACGCGUUAAGUUGACCGCCUGGGGAGUACGGUCGCAAGAUUA
Molecule: ribosomal RNA, 377 nt
Filed under: uncultured Gammaproteobacteria bacterium
Lineage: Bacteria; Pseudomonadati; Pseudomonadota; Gammaproteobacteria
Description: bacterial SSU rRNA
Rfam family: Bacterial small subunit ribosomal RNA
Source: RNAcentral